GUUCAGCACUGAGUUAUUUUGUUAAUAUAGCAAAUAUAAGAUGCAGUGUAUGGAAUGACCACAUUCUAGUAUGAGAAAUUAACAAUCCAAGUCCUUCUUGAACGAGGCCAUUUACCCAUAGAGGGUGCCAGGCCCGUAGUGAUGUUAAUGAUUACUAGAGGUUAUUUCCUAAGAGUCGUGUUGCUUGAUAGUGCAGCACUAAUUGGGUGGUAAACUCCAUCUAAAACUAAAUAUAACCAUGAGACCGAUAGCAAACAAGUACCGUGAGGGAAAGUUGAAAAGAACUCUGAAUAGAGAGUUAAAAAGUACGUGAAACUGCUUAGGGGUUAAGCCCGAUGAACCUGAAUAUCUUAUAUGAAAAAUUCAUCACUAGAAAUUUAUUAUUUUAUAAUAAACGAAUAGUGUGCAAUUUUUUCAUAAUAAAGACAUUGUUAUUUGUUAAUGAAUAUAUUAUGUAUAUAAUUUUUAUCAUAAGGACCGCAGGAUAAAGUUUAUUCUUUAUUUAUUUAUUUAAAUAUGAAUAAAAUCCAAAAUAUCUAAUAUUGUGGUAUCCAGAUAAAUGAUUGACAAAUUUUAAGUAUAACGCCAACAUAUUAAAUGUUAUAAUUAAUAUAUAUUCUAUGUAUUAUAUGUUAAAUUAUAUGCGUUCAUACGAUAAACAAUGCUAUAGAUUUAGGAUACCUUCGGGACCCGUCUUGAAACACGGACCAAGAAGUCUAACAUGUGUGCAAGUCAUUAGGUUUGAAUUUAAUUCAUAAAACCUAAAGGCGUAAAUAACUUAACUGUUUAAUGGGAUUAUUUUGUAUAUAUUAAUAUACAAAAUCCAUCCCAGGGCGUUCUAAAGUUAUGUAUUUUAUACUAACUGGAGCGUACCUUGAGCAUAAAUGUUGUGACCCGAAAGAUGGUGAACUAUACCUGAUCAGGUUGAAGUCAGGGGAAACCCUGAUGGAAGACCGAAACAGUUCUGACGUGCAAAUCGAU
Molecule: ribosomal RNA, 981 nt
Filed under: Oplodontha viridula (common green colonel fly)
Lineage: Eukaryota; Metazoa; Arthropoda; Insecta; Diptera; Stratiomyidae
Description: LSU rRNA
Rfam family: Eukaryotic large subunit ribosomal RNA
Source: RNAcentral